This 66-nucleotide transfer RNA is filed under the name Eurycea paludicola. RNAcentral's name for it is "tRNA-Tyr". Lineage: Eukaryota; Metazoa; Chordata; Amphibia; Caudata; Plethodontidae. The record is from RNAcentral.
GGUAAGAUGGCCGAAGCAGGUGCCGAGUUGUAGCCUCGGUUAUAAAGGUCAGCCCUUUUCUUAUCA